RNAcentral lists this ribosomal RNA (497 nucleotides) under uncultured bacterium. RNAcentral's name for it is "partial 16S ribosomal RNA". It matches the Rfam family "Bacterial small subunit ribosomal RNA", at positions 28 to 507 of the family's 1533-position model. The record is from RNAcentral.
GAUGAACGCUGGCGGCGUGCCUAAUACAUGCAAGUCGAGCGAACAGACGAGGAGCUUGCUCCUCUGACGUUAGCGGCGGACGGGUGAGUAACACGUGGAUAACCUACCUAUAAGACUGGGAUAACUUCGGGAAACCGGAGCUAAUACCGGAUAAUAUAUUGAACCGCAUGGUUCAAUAGUGAAAGACGGUUUUGCUGUCACUAAUAGAUGGAUCCGCGCCGCAUUAGCUAGUUGGUAAGGUAACGGCUUACCCAGGCAACGAUGCGUAGCCGACCUGAGAGGGUGGUCGCCCACACUGGAACUGAGACACGGUCCAGACUCCUACGGGAGGCAGCAGUAGGGAAUCUUCCGCAAUGGGCGAGAGCCUGACGGAGCAACGCCGCGUGAGUGAUGAAGGUCUUCGGAUCGUAAAACUCUGUUAUUAGUGAAGAACAAAUGUGUAAGUAACUAUGCACGUCUUGACGGUACCUAGUCAGAAAGCCACGGCUAACUACGUG